AUAAUAUUCAAAAGUAAAAUAAAAUAUUCUUUGUUUGGUCCUUUCGUACUAAAACAAAACAAGCAAUUAAAGAUAGAAACCGACCUGGCUCACGCCGGUUUGACUCAGAUCAUGUAA
RNAcentral lists this ribosomal RNA (117 nucleotides) under Trachys troglodytes. RNAcentral describes it as "partial 16S ribosomal RNA". Lineage: Eukaryota; Metazoa; Arthropoda; Insecta; Coleoptera; Buprestidae. The record is from RNAcentral.